Non-coding RNA from Trichuris trichiura (human whipworm), 2290 nucleotides. The record is from Rfam. Lineage: Eukaryota; Metazoa; Nematoda; Enoplea; Trichinellida; Trichuridae.
AAUUCUUCAAAUACUUAGGAGUAGAGUUCAAUCCAUUCGGCCGGCGGCGCGACCAGUUGACAGGAGCGCGGGCGCUCCUGGAUCGUGCAUGCAAGGCAGAAUUAAAACCACAGCAAAAGAUUGGAGGCGAAAGCCCAAGCGCAACGGUGUGACGUCGUUCCUGACUUGUUCGCCGUAGCUAGCAGCACGCCGUACCGUUCGAAAGGGAAUCCGGUUGAAAUUCCGGAACCGAGACACGAAGAUGUACACCCGCGUCUCCGGUGGUCGCUUCCGCGGCCGCGGCGCCUCGUCGCCGCUGUCCGCUCGGUUUGCCCGACUGGAAGCACGCGGGACUGGUGCGCGCGGUAACGCCUCCGAACUCGGCGAGCAGCCGUCGGCAGUUCCGGAAAGAGUUUUCUUUUCUUCAUAAGGCACGCAGUCGCUGGAACCGGGUUGUCCGGAGAUAGCGACGAUGUCGCCGCAAAACGCCGCGUCUCCCGUGGCGUUCGGAACGCUCUCGACGGUCCGUGAAAAGCCGAGCUACGCCGUAUAAAUUCGUGCUCGCUCGUACCCAUAUCCGCAGCAGGUCUCCAAGGUGAACAGCCUCUGGCCAAUUGAACAAUGCAGAUAAGGGAAGUCGGCAAAACGGAUCCGUACCUUCGGAACAAGGAUUGGCUCUAAGGGCUGAACCGGUCGGGCUGAUGCUUCGAAGCGUGUUUGGUGCGGUCGCUGACUGCCGGUCCGAGGAGCUGCGCUUGCCCGGCGUCGCGUUCUCGCCGGCUGGGCGCGAGCGUGCGCGUGGCUGGUCCGCGCCGCGCCGUUGCUGCCGGACGUCUGCUACGCGUAGUCGAGGCGCUUCUUCUGAAGCCGCAGUCGGUAACGAAGCCUGCGCGCGGACGACUUCAGCUGUGUGCGCUUGUCCUGCUCGCGACAAGCCACUUCGUCCGGCAUUGAACAGCCGACUUAGAACUGGCACGGACACGAGGAAUCGGACUGUAUAAUUAAAACAAAGCAUUGCGACGGCCGGUGAUCGGUGUUGACGCAAUGUGAUUUCUGCCCAGUGCUCUGAAUGUCAAAGUGAAGAAAUUCAACCAAGCGCGGGUAAACGGCGGGAGUAACUAUGACUCUCUUGUAACUAUGGCGCAGCAACGGGUGGAUUGCUGGUGACGGGAUGACGGGGCGCAACUUCAUCGCCGCACUGAAGGUUAGGACUUCUCUGGUCCCCACGCGCUUGCAGGCCCUUAGGGGCCGAGCUGAACCGGGUGACCAGAGAGUCCUCUGCCGGAAGUGUGGCGUGGUAAGCGGCGCCUCUGAAUCCUUAAUCCACAUCUCCCAGAACUGCGCCUUCACAGGCGGGCUCAUAGUCCGGAGGCACAAUGACAUCCUGAAGAAGCUGAUGCAGUCAGCGGAAGCCUCCGGAUUCCACCUUGUACAUGAGCCCGUGAUCCGGCUGGAAGGGGAAACCCUGAAACCGGAUCUGCUCCUCACAAGAGACGAUUCAUGCUGGAUAGUCGACGUAGCCAUACCGUGGGAAACCACGGACUCCCUAAAUAGACGCCACGUCGAGAAAUGCCGCAAGUACGAACGCCUCAAGGAGGCCGCUCUUAAGUUAACAGGAGCGAAAACAUUCGGCACCGGCGCAGUAGUGAUAGGAUCUCGAGGCGGCUGGUGCAGCCGAAACGACGAUACAUUCAAGCAGCUACGCUGGGACGUGACAGAGAACUUUAAAAUGCUGCUUUGUACAAUGGCGCUUGAGCGCACAGUCCAACUGGUCAACUGGUUCAUGAGGAGCAGCACCAGGCUGGCGUUCCGAGCUGAUAGACGGGGGCGGGGCGUUGAAAACCGGACUUGACUACAACCGGCUAUGACGCGCCACGGAGUGGCCCGCUCCGCACAAGGUGGCUACAACCAACAGGGGCACCGGAGAAACAAAUGCAGCAAAGUCAGGCCUACAUGUCCGGCCUGAUCAAUCUCGCAGCAGUACUACAAGCGAUGACGCUUCACGAAAGAGGACGACGCACUUAAUGCUAUUCAGUCCUUCCUUUCUAACUUUAUUUCUUCAGUUUCGUACUUUUUGUUGCUCGAAAGCUGCAAGAGCACACACGAUUUUCGUUCCUUCAGUUCAUUUCGUUAUCGCCUUGGUUCCUUCAGUUGCAGCAAUUAUGUUCUGUUCAUCUUCUCAGGUUGCGCAAGCCUUGCUUAUUGCAAAAAUUGCAAAUAAAAUUGAAUAGCCAAAUGCCUCGUCAUCUAAUUAGUGACGCGCAUGAAUGGAUCAACAAGAUUCCUACUGUCCCUAUCUACUGUCUAGCGA